RNAcentral lists this ribosomal RNA (1090 nucleotides) under Microbacterium thalassium. RNAcentral's name for it is "bacterial SSU rRNA". It matches the Rfam family "Bacterial small subunit ribosomal RNA", at positions 327 to 1429 of the family's 1533-position model. Lineage: Bacteria; Bacillati; Actinomycetota; Actinomycetes; Micrococcales; Microbacteriaceae. The record is from RNAcentral.
CGGCCCAGACUCCUACGGGAGGCAGCAGUGGGAAUAUUGCACAAUGGGCGAAAGCCUGAUGCAGCAACGCCGCGUGAGGGAUGACGGCCUUCGGGUUGUAAACCUCUUUUAGCAGGAAGAAGCGAGAGUGACGGUACCUGCAGAAAAAGCGCCGGCUAACUACGUGCCAGCAGCCGCGGUAAUACGUAGGGCGCAAGCGUUAUCCGGAAUUAUUGGGCGUAAAGAGCUCGUAGGCGGUUUGUCGCGUCUGCUGUGAAAUCCCGAGGCUCAACCUCGGGCCUGCAGUGGGUACGGGCAGACUAGAGUGCGGUAGGGGAGAUUGGAAUUCCUGGUGUAGCGGUGGAAUGCGCAGAUAUCAGGAGGAACACCGAUGGCGAAGGCAGAUCUCUGGGCCGUAACUGACGCUGAGGAGCGAAAGGGUGGGGAGCAAACAGGCUUAGAUACCCUGGUAGUCCACCCCGUAAACGUUGGGAACUAGUUGUGGGGUCCAUUCCACGGAUUCCGUGACGCAGCUAACGCAUUAAGUUCCCCGCCUGGGGAGUACGGCCGCAAGGCUAAAACUCAAAGGAAUUGACGGGGACCCGCACAAGCGGCGGAGCAUGCGGAUUAAUUCGAUGCAACGCGAAGAACCUUACCAAGGCUUGACAUAUACGGGAACACUCUGGAAACAGAGGACUCUUUGGACACUCGUAUACAGGUGGUGCAUGGUUGUCGUCAGCUCGUGUCGUGAGAUGUUGGGUUAAGUCCCGCAACGAGCGCAACCCUCGUUCUAUGUUGCCAGCACGUUAUGGUGGGAACUCAUGGGAUACCGCCGGGGUCAACUCGGAGGAAGGUGGGGAUGACGUCAAAUCAUCAUGCCCCUUAUGUCUUGGGCUUCACGCAUGCUACAAUGGCCGGUACAAAGGGCUGCAAUACCGUGAGGUGGAGCGAAUCCCAAAAAGCCGGUCCCAGUUCGGAUUGAGGUCUGCAACUCGACCUCAUGAAGUCGGAGUCGCUAGUAAUCGCAGAUCAGCAACGCUGCGGUGAAUACGUUCCCGGGUCUUGUACACACCGCCCGUCAAGUCAUGAAAGUCGGUAACACCUGAAGCCG